AAGCCUGACGGAGCAAGACCGCGUGAGGGAGGAAGGCUCUUGGGUUGUAAACCUCUUUUCUCAGGGAAGAAGUACUGACGGUACCUGAGGAAUCAGCAUCGGCUAACUCCGUGCCAGCAGCCGCGGUAAGACGGAGGAUGCAAGCGUUAUCCGGAAUUAUUGGGCGUAAAGCGUCCGUAGGCGGUUCAGAAAGUCUGCUGUUAAAGCUCACAGCUCAACUGUGAAUCGGCAGUGGAAACUUCUGGACUAGAGAGUGGUAGGGGUAGAGGGAAUUCCUAGUGUAGCGGUGAAAUGCGUAGAUAUUAGGAAGAACACCAGUGGCGAAGGCGCUCUACUGGGCCAUUACUGACGCUGAUGGACGAAAGCUAGGGGAGCGAAAGGGAUUAGAUACCCCUGUAGUC
RNAcentral lists this ribosomal RNA (401 nucleotides) under uncultured cyanobacterium. Its description in RNAcentral is "bacterial SSU rRNA". It matches the Rfam family "Bacterial small subunit ribosomal RNA", at positions 379 to 795 of the family's 1533-position model. Lineage: Bacteria; Bacillati; Cyanobacteriota. The record is from RNAcentral.